RNAcentral lists this ribosomal RNA (506 nucleotides) under uncultured bacterium. Its description in RNAcentral is "partial 16S ribosomal RNA". It matches the Rfam family "Bacterial small subunit ribosomal RNA", at positions 30 to 523 of the family's 1533-position model. The record is from RNAcentral.
AUUGAACGCUGGCGGCAGGCCUAACACAUGCAAGUCGAACGGUAACAGGAAACAGCUUGCUGUUUCGCUGACGAGUGGCGGACGGGUGAGUAAUGUCUGGGAAACUGCCUGAUGGAGGGGGAUAACUACUGGAAACGGUAGCUAAUACCGCAUAAUGUCGCAAGACCAAAGAGGGGGACCUUCGGGCCUCUUGCCAUCGGAUGUGCCCAGAUGGGAUUAGCUAGUAGGUGGGGUAAUGGCUCACCUAGGCGACGAUCCCUAGCUGGUCUGAGAGGAUGACCAGCCACACUGGAACUGAGACACGGUCCAGACUCCUACGGGAGGCAGCAGUGGGGAAUAUUGCACAAUGGGCGCAAGCCUGAUGCAGCCAUGCCGCGUGUAUGAAGAAGGCCUUCGGGUUGUAAAGUACUUUCAGCGAGGAGGAAGGCAUUGUGGUUAAUAACCGCAGUGAUUGACGUUACUCGCAGAAGAAGCACCGGCUAACUCCGUGCCAGCAGCCGCCGUAA